RNAcentral lists this ribosomal RNA (492 nucleotides) under uncultured bacterium. Its description in RNAcentral is "partial 16S ribosomal RNA". It matches the Rfam family "Bacterial small subunit ribosomal RNA", at positions 29 to 507 of the family's 1533-position model. The record is from RNAcentral.
AGUGAACGCUGGCGGCAGGCCUAACACAUGCAAGUCGAACGGCAGCACAGUAAGAGCUUGCUCUUACGGGUGGCGAGUGGCGGACGGGUGAGGAAUACAUCGGAACCUACUUUUUCGUGGGGGAUAACGUGGCGAAACUUACGCUAAUACCGCAUACGACCUACGGGUGAAAGCAGGGGAUCUUCGGACCUUGCGCGAUUGAAUGAGCCGAUGUCGGACUAGCUAGUUGGCGGGGUAAAGGCCCACCAAGGCGAGGAUCCGUAGCUGGUCUGAGAGGAUGAUCAGCCACACUGGAAGUGAGACACGGUCCAGACUCCUACGGGAGGCAGCAGUGGGGAAUAUUGGACAGUGGGGGCAAGCAUGAUCCAGCCAUACCGAGUGGGUGAAGAAGGCCUUCGGGUUGUGAAGCCCUUUUGUUGGGAAAGAAAAGCAGCAGGUUAAUACCCCGCUGUUCUGACGGUACCCAAAGAAUAAGCACCGGCUAACUUCGUG